Molecule: ribosomal RNA, 468 nt
Filed under: uncultured bacterium
Lineage: Bacteria
Description: partial 16S ribosomal RNA
Rfam family: Bacterial small subunit ribosomal RNA
Source: RNAcentral
GAUGAACGCUGGCGGCGUGCUUAACACAUGCAAGUCGAACGGAAAGGCCAGUGCUUGCACUGGUACUCGAGUGGCGAACGGGUGAGUAACACGUGGGUGAUCUGCCCUGCACUUCGGGAUAAGCCUGGGAAACUGGGUCUAAUACCGGAUAGGACAAUGGUUUGGAUGCCGUUGUGGAAAGUUUUUUCGGUGUGGGAUGAGCUCGCGGCCUAUCAGCUUGUUGGGGGGGUAAUGGCCUACCAAGGCGUCGACGGGUAGCCGGCCUGAGAGGGUGUACGGACACAUUAGGACUGAGAGGCGGCCCAGACUCCUACGGGAUGCAGCAGUGGGGAAUAUUGCACAAUGGGCGCAAGCCUGGUGCAGCGACGCCGCGUGGGGGAUGACGGCCUUCGGGUUGUAAACUCCUUUCGCUAGGGACGAAGCGUAUUUGUGACGGUACCUGGAGAAGAAGCACCGGCUAACUACGUG